AUCUCUGUCCUUAAUAGCUUCCCUUCCCCUCCCCGACAGCCCCCCACCGGUUGCGCUGCUGCUGCCCAGUCUUCCAUCUCUGGCCCCUCACUGCCACUGCCACCCCACAUGGGGCGGGGGACGCUCCAGCUGGUCUGGGGUUGGCCAGGGUCCUAGUAGCCGGCCAGGCCUGGCUCGGCCCUCUCCCCUCGCUGAGCUCUAGUGUGCCCCACCGACCCUUCAGGUGCUGCGCGGAGGAGGGGCGGCAGGCCGCGAGUCCUGCUGGGCACUAGCUAGGUCAGGUGGCCUGGGAGACCGUUGCCCUGGGGAGGCCAGAGCCCUGGCGGCCGCCCCCAGCCGAGUCCCUCACGGGGCCCCUUCCCGGGAGGGGCCUGGCCUCCUCCCCACACUGUCGGGCAACCACAGCAGAGAAGCCUCCCUGCCUCAGACCCCAAAGUCUCCCGUUCCUGCCCUGUGUGUGUGCGCACAUGUGCGAGUGUGUGAAACUCUGGGUGCAGCUGAGUGCAUCGGGGCCCUGUGUGUGCCUGAGUGGAGCAUGGUCCCCAGAGGCCACUCUGUGUGGGGGCUUCAGCGGUAUGCACAGGGUGCGUGCAUGGGUGUGUGCCCGUGAAAGCACCCCAUCUCCACUUCCAAAGAAAGAGGCACCCUAGGACCUGCUGUUUGCCCAGCCUGUCCUUGCAGAGCCUCCUCUAGCCUGAGCGGGCCUCCUCGGUGAAGCUCUGCUGCUGGGACAGGCUCCCAAGGGCCCUUGGAGGCAGUGCCCCCCCUGCUUUGGGCUUCUGGGGGGCUCAUAGAGGACCCCUAGAGUCAAGCCACCACAAGCCCUGGGGAGAGGCAAAGACCCCAGAGGACACCCCAGCCCCCCUUACUGUGACUCCUCACACUCAGCAAUGACCUGUGGGGUGGGGGGCCCUGGGACGUUUUUAAACCUAGGGUUUGGAGUCUGGACUAAGCUCCAUCCACGUCACUCACAAGUUUCUGUUUAUAUUUCUAGCUUUUUUUAAUAAAAAAAAAAAAAAACCAGAAAACUGAAGUUUUCCCAGCCCAGGGGCCUGGCACGCCGGUCUGUGCCCGCCUGCCCCACCCUGGCCCGCCGGCCCCACUCCCUGGGCAGAGUCACACCCAGUAACCCCUUCACCGACAGACCAGGUCACACACACAGCAGCAGUCACUGUAACAGACUGCCACAUACACACUCGGUCUCACACUCACCUGUGGGUUUUUGGUUCCGUUCAAUUUGGGUUUUUAACUUUACAGGGUCAGUUGUGCUCCGCCCCUCCUUUUGUAUGGAGUUCCAUCCAGGGGAUUUCACCCCUGCUCCAGUCCUGAGGCCUCCUGACCCUGACGUUGUGAUACACCCCACAGAGAUCUAUGUUUCUUAUAUUAUUAUUAUUGAUAAUAAUUAUUAUAAUAUUAUUAUGUAAUAA
RNAcentral lists this long non-coding RNA (1427 nucleotides) under Canis lupus familiaris (dog). RNAcentral's name for it is "lncRNA (ENSCAFG00000051551.1, ENSCAFG00805017583.1, ENSCAFG00845026606.1)". The record is from RNAcentral. Lineage: Eukaryota; Metazoa; Chordata; Mammalia; Carnivora; Canidae.